Molecule: ribosomal RNA, 527 nt
Filed under: uncultured bacterium
Lineage: Bacteria
Description: bacterial SSU rRNA
Rfam family: Bacterial small subunit ribosomal RNA
Source: RNAcentral
AACGAACGCUGGCGGCGUGCUUAACACAUGCAAGUCGAACGCGAAAGUCCCUUCGGGGGCGAGUAGAGUGGCGCACGGGUGAGUAACGCGUAGGAACGUACCUAAGGGUGGGGAAUAACCACGGGAAACCGUGGCUAAUACCGCAUAAUAUCGCAAGAUCAAAGGAGGCCUCUACUUGUAAGCUUCCGCCGUUAGAGCGGCCUACGUCCUAUUAGCUAGUUGGUAGGGUAAAAGCCUACCAAGGCGAUGAUGGGUAACUGGUCUGAGAGGAUGAUCAGUCACACUGGAACUGAGACACGGUCCAGACUCCUACGGGAGGCAGCAGUGGGGAAUCUUGCACAAUGGGCGAAAGCCUGAUGCAGCAACGCCGCGUGGGUGAAGAAGGUUUUUCGGAUUGUAAAGCCCUUUCGGCUGGGAAGAAGGGCGGAGUGGUUAAUACCCACCUCGUCUGACGGUACCAGAAUAAGAAGCACCGGCUAAUUCCGUGCCAGCAGCCGCGGUAAUACGGAAGGUGCAAGCGUUGUUAC